Molecule: ribosomal RNA, 465 nt
Filed under: uncultured bacterium
Lineage: Bacteria
Description: partial 16S ribosomal RNA
Rfam family: Bacterial small subunit ribosomal RNA
Source: RNAcentral
GACGAACGCUGGCGGCGUGCUUAACACAUGCAAGUCGAACGGAAAGGCCCCUUCGGGGGUACUCGAGUGGCGAACAGGUGAGUAACACGUGAGUAACCUGCCCUUGACUUCGGGAUAACUUCGGGAAACUGGGGCUAAUACCGGAUAGGAAUCCUUGCUGCAUGGUGGGGGUUGGAAAGCUUCGGCGGUUUUGGAUGGACUCGCGGCUUAUCAGCUUGUUGGUGGGGUAGUGGCUUACCAAGGCUUUGACGGGUAGCCGGCCUGAGAGGGCGACCGGCCACAUUGGGACUGAGAUACGGCCCAGACUCCUACGGGAGGCAGCAGUGGGGAAUAUUGCACAAUGGGCGGAAGCCUGAUGCAGCAACGCCGCGUGCGGGAUGACGGCCUUCGGGUUGUAAACCGCUUUCAGCAGGGGCGAAGCUUGUGGUGACGGUACCUGCAGAAGAAGCACCGGCUAACUACGUG